Molecule: unclassified non-coding RNA, 245 nt
Filed under: fungal sp.
Lineage: Eukaryota; Fungi
Description: partial internal transcribed spacer region
Rfam family: Eukaryotic small subunit ribosomal RNA (bases 1-46)
Source: RNAcentral
AAGUCGUAACAAGGUUUCCGUAGGUGAACCUGCGGAAGGAUCAUUAGAAAAUCACCGGCUUAGCCGGUAAUAAAUUCUAUCCACCUUGUGUGCAAUCAAUGGAAAAGAAAGAGAGAAAAUUUGGAUGCUUUUUCGUAUCCAGCCUCUCUAAUUUUUUUUUAUAAACUCCAUCAAAUUUUGAAUAAAACUAAUUUUUUUUAAUAAAAAAUAUUAUACAACUUUCAACAACGGAUCUCUUGGCUCUC